UCAAUUUUUUCCAAAAUGUGAAAUUACUUUGUUUUUGUAGGUUAAUUUUUUUUUUAUUAUUUUUUUUUGUUUGUGGGGUGCUAUUGGUAUUGAUUUUUCAGUUAGAGAUUAAAUUUGUUCACUCGUCUCUAGCAUCUCUCACUCUAACUCCGAUUCAUGGCUCCCAGAAGCAUCUAUAAAUUUAAACUUGUAGUAGUUUUCUCAUCAUAUCAAGCUUGCUACAACAAUUGCUGCUGUCUAUUACAAUGUUGCUACUGCUGCUGCUUGCGGUUUUCCUUUAGCUGCAGUUCUGGUUGUCCCUAAAUCAGUCGUUUUCAUCUCCUAGUCCCUUCAUGAAAGUUGUAGAUCUUGAAAAGUUAUCCAAUAUAGGCUCAAGAAUUUCUAGAUUUGGAAUUGUAUGCUAGGAGUUAUGCCUUCUGGACAUUUUUGUGGCCUGCUGGUUCUUUUGCUGCGGGGAUGUUAUUGUCCACUUGAUGUCUAUGUGAUGUUGUUGACUUGUUGUGUUGAGUUGAGUGGGGUAGGGUAGGGUUGCUAAAAUAAGUACUCUAGCAUUUUCUAUAUGUUUUAUUUUAUUUUCCCUCCUAUUAUGUACAACUUAUUUCCUAAAUUAAUGUGGUUAAUUAAAUUAGAUUAAUGACUAUUUGGAUAAUAAGGACUAAAUUUCCAAAGUGGUAAGGAUCAAUGUAUAGUUCCUAUUCACAUGAAAUAUCUUUAUUGUGGCUUAAAGCUUUGGUGACACUUUUAAUGCAUAUAAAUAUCUUUCUUUGUGCCAUUUGAUGUACAGGUUUGUUUUGGGUGAGUUUGGUUAUGAAGGAUUAUACACUAACAAGUUAUAAUGAUCUUUUGUUUGCCAUUUUUCUAAACUUGUCAAAUCAUAUGUAUCCUUUUAGAUUAGCAAUGGAGUUAGUUCACUAAAGUUGUUUAUUGAUUUCAGUUUUUCAUGUGUUUUCCCCUAUGGUGUAUCGAGGAUUUUUAGCAUGUGGUGUUCAAAGAUAAGCUAUUAGUAGGCCACAAUGAAGAGUGAACAUGAUUAGAUGAGGAUUUGAGCAACGAUGGGGAAAUUUGUUGCUUCUAAUAUUUGAACAAAUUAAAGUUGCUUCUAAAUUUGCACCACUCACUCUGAGUUCAAGGAUGCAUUUAAAAAGUUAUCUUUGACUUAAGUUGAUUCAUAAAUCUUUCUUAUUUUAGCCA
Molecule: long non-coding RNA, 1191 nt
Organism: Chenopodium quinoa (quinoa)
Lineage: Eukaryota; Viridiplantae; Streptophyta; Magnoliopsida; Caryophyllales; Amaranthaceae
Exons: 2
Source: RefSeq, a predicted model, not a curated record